AUAAAACUAAGCUAAAACCAGUUGCCUACCGGUGUUGUGUCACUUUUGCCAUGGCCCUUAGCGACGCUGAUGUACAAAAGCAGAUUAAGCACAUGAUGGCUUUCAUUGAACAAGAAACCAAUGAGAAAGCAGAAGAAAUCGAUGCAAAAGCUGAAGAAGAGUUCAACAUUGAAAAAGGUCUUCUUGUGCAAACGCAGGGACUAAAGAUAAUGGUAUACUAUAAGAAGAAGGAAAAGCAGAUUGAGCAGCAGAAGAAAAUUCAGAUGUCCAGCUUGAUGAAUUAAGCCAGGCUGAAAGUCCUCAGAGCAAGAGAUGACCUCAUCUCUGACCUGCUCACCAAAGCAAAGCAGAGACUCAGCAAGGUGGUAAAAGAUACUAGGUACCGAGUACUGCUAGAUGGACUGGUGCGCCAGGCUUUGUACCAGCUGUUGGAGCCCUGAAAGUGUGCUGCAGGAAACAAGAUUUCCCCUUGGUAAAGCCUGCAGUGCAAAAGGCCAUCUCUAUGUACAAAAUUGCCACUAAGAAAGAUGUUGAUGUUCAAAUUGAUCAGGAGGCCUACCUGCCUAAGGACAUAGCUGGUGGAGUUGAGAUCUAUAAUGGGGAUCAUAAAAUAAAAGUUUCCAACACCAUGGAGAGUCAGCUGGAUCUCAUAGCCCAGCAGAUGAUGCCAGAGGUUUGGGGAGGCUUGUUCGGUUCAAAUCUAACAGGAAGUUUUUGGACUAAGCCUCGGUGAGGUGGAAUUCAUGUUCUGCUCCUCAUCUGAAGAAGCAAGACUGUGGCUUUCUCUCCACUGUUCUGA
Molecule: RNA transcript, 799 nt
Organism: Octodon degus (degu)
Lineage: Eukaryota; Metazoa; Chordata; Mammalia; Rodentia; Octodontidae
Gene name: V-type proton ATPase subunit E 1 pseudogene
Exons: 1
Source: RefSeq, a predicted model, not a curated record